RNAcentral lists this ribosomal RNA (1930 nucleotides) under Escherichia coli. RNAcentral describes it as "partial 23S ribosomal RNA". It matches the Rfam family "Bacterial large subunit ribosomal RNA", at positions 253 to 2207 of the family's 2925-position model. The record is from RNAcentral. Lineage: Bacteria; Pseudomonadati; Pseudomonadota; Gammaproteobacteria; Enterobacterales; Enterobacteriaceae.
GCGAACGGGGAGGAGCCCAGAGCCUGAAUCAGUGUGUGUGUUAGUGGAAGCGUCUGGAAAGGCGCGCGAUACAGGGUGACAGCCCCGUACACAAAAAUGCACAUGCUGUGAGCUCGAUGAGUAGGGCGGGACACGUGGUAUCCUGUCUGAAUAUGGGGGGACCAUCCUCCAAGGCUAAAUACUCCUGACUGACCGAUAGUGAACCAGUACCGUGAGGGAAAGGCGAAAAGAACCCCGGCGAGGGGAGUGAAAAAGAACCUGAAACCGUGUACGUACAAGCAGUGGGAGCACGCUUAGGCGUGUGACUGCGUACCUUUUGUAUAAUGGGUCAGCGACUUAUAUUCUGUAGCAAGGUUAACCGAAUAGGGGAGCCGAAGGGAAACCGAGUCUUAACUGGGCGUUAAGUUGCAGGGUAUAGACCCGAAACCCGGUGAUCUAGCCAUGGGCAGGUUGAAGGUUGGGUAACACUAACUGGAGGACCGAACCGACUAAUGUUGAAAAAUUAGCGGAUGACUUGUGGCUGGGGGUGAAAGGCCAAUCAAACCGGGAGAUAGCUGGUUCUCCCCGAAAGCUAUUUAGGUAGCGCCUCGUGAAUUCAUCUCCGGGGGUAGAGCACUGUUUCGGCAAGGGGGUCAUCCCGACUUACCAACCCGAUGCAAACUGCGAAUACCGGAGAAUGUUAUCACGGGAGACACACGGCGGGUGCUAACGUCCGUCGUGAAGAGGGAAACAACCCAGACCGCCAGCUAAGGUCCCAAAGUCAUGGUUAAGUGGGAAACGAUGUGGGAAGGCCCAGACAGCCAGGAUGUUGGCUUAGAAGCAGCCAUCAUUUAAAGAAAGCGUAAUAGCUCACUGGUCGAGUCGGCCUGCGCGGAAGAUGUAACGGGGCUAAACCAUGCACCGAAGCUGCGGCAGCGACGCUUAUGCGUUGUUGGGUAGGGGAGCGUUCUGUAAGCCUGUGAAGGUGUGCUGUGAGGCAUGCUGGAGGUAUCAGAAGUGCGAAUGCUGACAUAAGUAACGAUAAAGCGGGUGAAAAGCCCGCUCGCCGGAAGACCAAGGGUUCCUGUCCAACGUUAAUCGGGGCAGGGUGAGUCGACCCCUAAGGCGAGGCCGAAAGGCGUAGUCGAUGGGAAACAGGUUAAUAUUCCUGUACUUGGUGUUACUGCGAAGGGGGGACGGAGAAGGCUAUGUUGGCCGGGCGACGGUUGUCCCGGUUUAAGCGUGUAGGCUGGUUUUCCAGGCAAAUCCGGAAAAUCAAGGCUGAGGCGUGAUGACGAGGCACUACGGUGCUGAAGCAACAAAUGCCCUGCUUCCAGGAAAAGCCUCUAAGCAUCAGGUAACAUCAAAUCGUACCCCAAACCGACACAGGUGGUCAGGUAGAGAAUACCAAGGCGCUUGAGAGAACUCGGGUGAAGGAACUAGGCAAAAUGGUGCCGUAACUUCGGGAGAAGGCACGCUGAUAUGUAGGUGAAGCGACUUGCUCGUGGAGCUGAAAUCAGUCGAAGAUACCAGCUGGCUGCAACUGUUUAUUAAAAACACAGCACUGUGCAAACACGAAAGUGGACGUAUACGGUGUGACGCCUGCCCGGUGCCGGAAGGUUAAUUGAUGGGGUCAGCGCAAGCGAAGCUCUUGAUCGAAGCCCCGGUAAACGGCGGCCGUAACUAUAACGGUCCUAAGGUAGCGAAAUUCCUUGUCGGGUAAGUUCCGACCUGCACGAAUGGCGUAAUGAUGGCCAGGCUGUCUCCACCCGAGACUCAGUGAAAUUGAACUCGCUGUGAAGAUGCAGUGUACCCGCGGCAAGACGGAAAGACCCCGUGAACCUUUACUAUAGCUUGACACUGAACAUUGAGCCUUGAUGUGUAGGAUAGGUGGGAGGCUUUGAAGUGUGGACGCCAGUCUGCAUGGAGCCGACCUUGAAAUACCACCCUU